RNAcentral lists this ribosomal RNA (253 nucleotides) under uncultured bacterium. Its description in RNAcentral is "partial 16S ribosomal RNA". It matches the Rfam family "Bacterial small subunit ribosomal RNA", at positions 524 to 776 of the family's 1533-position model. The record is from RNAcentral.
UACGGAGGGUGCAAACGUUGCUCGGAAUCAUUGGGCGUAAAGCGCACGUAGGCGGACCGCUAAGUCGGAUGUGAAAUCCCCCGGCUUAACCUGGGAACUGCGUCUGAUACUGGGAGGCUAGAGUUCGGGAGAGGGAUGUAGAAUUCCAGGUGUAGCGGUGAAAUGCGUAGAUAUCUGGAGGAAUACCGGUGGCGAAGGCGGCAUCCUGGACCGGUAUUGACGCUGAGGAGCGAAAGCCAGGGGAGCAAACGGG